This 253-nucleotide ribosomal RNA is filed under the name uncultured bacterium. RNAcentral describes it as "partial 16S ribosomal RNA". It matches the Rfam family "Bacterial small subunit ribosomal RNA", at positions 526 to 779 of the family's 1533-position model. The record is from RNAcentral.
CGAAGGGAGCUAGCGUUGUUCGGAAUUACUGGGCGUAAAGGGCGCGUAGGCGGCUUGAUAAGUUUGAUGUGAAAGCCCUGGGCUUAACCUAGGAAUAGCAUUGAAUACUGUCAGGCUAGAAGCCGAGAGAGGGAAAUGGAAUUGCGAGUGUAGAGGUGAAAUUCGUAGAUAUUCGCAAGAACACCAGUGGCGAAGGCGAUUUCCUGGCUCGGUACUGACGCUAAGGCGCGAAAGCGUGGGAGCAAACAGGAUU